GAUGAACGCUGACAGAAUGCUUAACACAUGCAAGUCCACUUGAACUUCGGUUUGGGUGGCGGACGGGUGAGUAACGCGUAAAGAACUUGCCUCACAGCUAGGGACAACAUUUGGAAACGAAUGCUAAUACCUGAUAUUAUGAUUUUAGGGCAUCCUAGAAUUAUGACAGCUAUAUGCGCUGUGAGAGAGCUUUGCGUCCCAUUAGCUAGUUGGAGAGGUAACGGCUCACCAAGGCGAUGAUGGGUAGCCGGCCUGAGAGGGUGAACGGCCACAAGGGGACUGAGACACGGCCCUUACUCCUACGGGAGGCAGCAGUGGGGAAUAUUGGACAAUGGACCAAGAGUCUGAUCCAGCAAUUCUGUGUGCACGAUGAAGUUUUUCGGAAUGUAAAGUGCUUUCAGUUGGGAAGAAAAAAAUGACGGUACCAACAGAAGAAGUGACGGCUAAAUACGUG
RNAcentral lists this ribosomal RNA (454 nucleotides) under uncultured bacterium. RNAcentral's name for it is "partial 16S ribosomal RNA". It matches the Rfam family "Bacterial small subunit ribosomal RNA", at positions 28 to 507 of the family's 1533-position model. The record is from RNAcentral.